Molecule: long non-coding RNA, 3246 nt
Organism: Cucurbita maxima (winter squash)
Lineage: Eukaryota; Viridiplantae; Streptophyta; Magnoliopsida; Cucurbitales; Cucurbitaceae
Exons: 5
Source: RefSeq, a predicted model, not a curated record
CAUUUCAACUGCUUACCAGAUCAACCAUUCUAGGGUUUCGCAUUUGGCGAGGAAGGAAAAGCGGACCGAGAUAGAUUGGUUUGACAGAGAGAUUGAGGGAGAUGGAAUGACGAACAAAUUAAUUAAUCAGAUGAGAUUACCGAAAUCGAUAACUAAUAUUUUCGCAGAGCGAAUUAUUAACACAGCCAAGGAAGCUUUAUCCUUAACUGAAUUUGAGUUGAUGGAGUUAUUGGACGUGGGAUUAUUGGAAGUUGCAUCAGCAGUUGCGCACAUUAUUUAAAUUGCUUCUCCUCCUUAUCAGACGAGGUGAUGAUCUAGUUGCAUCAAUUGGUGCUUUCUCUUAUGGAUCAAAGACUUCAAAACGAGCAUUUAACUGGCCAUCUUUCUACAUGUAAAAGGUUUAGACGAGGCCUUAUUUGGUGGAAUCCCAUUUGGUGUCUUGACAGAGCUUGUUGGUCCAGCUUGAAUUGGGAAAACGCAAGUGUAAUUCUUUCCUAGUUUUCGGGUUUGUUAAUUAUCUUUUAUGUUAUAUCAGAAAAUUUUCGUUGAUUGGAUUGGAGUAUCAAUUGGAAUAUAUGGUUGCUUAAGUUGAAGCAUGUUCAACUACUUUCUGCUGACAUGCGACUUUUUCUUUAAAUAGAACACAAUUCAGUUCGAGGUAUGUAAUGCAGUUCGAGGUAUGUACAUAUUAGUUCAAUUGCAAUGAUUUACCUGCAACGGCAUUGAAUAUUUAAAUAGAACACAAUUCAGGUGCUUGUUAGGACUGGGAUUUCGUGGACUAUCCAUACAUAGCCUAUAGAUAAUCAACAAUCAUUGGUUAGAAUAAUGAAGAUUGUAAACGGAAAAGAAAAAUGAAUGCUGAUCUUACUCAUCUAUUUUUAGAGUUUAUUCCCAACCAAUGUCUGAUGUCAAGUGCCAGAGCGUUUAUCUGAUCACCUUCUGUAUAGACAGGCAUAAGUUUGCAACUCAAACGUGACUGGAGAUUAAAUGAAAUGCAGUUAUAUGCAUUCGUUUACGUUAUAGAAAUGGAUCUGAAUAAGUCUGUAUCAUAUAGUGCUUUUGCGAGAGAUUGACUGUGCACACUUAACUUGCAUCUCUCAAACUCGAUUCAGUUAUCUAAUAAAAUUGCUGUGAAUUCUGCAUGUGGAGGCUCUUCUCUUUUUUCAUUAACCUACAAACCCAUGAAAGAUUUUCAAUAUCUGUAUUGUUAUAGCACUAUGGUUCAUUGACUCAUUCUGUGACAAUUUGUUUGGUGCUUGAAGCAAAAUCUGGUUGGAACACUUUUCACUGAUUAUUGCCCUUUAGCUGAUAUAAUGCUCAAAUGGCUCUGAUGUCAACGGAUCUUUAUGUUUAAUGAUAUCUUCUCAACUUGUUUAAGUUUUAAGCGAGAUAGGGGCAGUCAAAACUAGAGAAAGUGCUUCUAACAAUGUUUCAUAACUCAUCAUUUCCAUCAUCUCUCAUAGAUCAGAGGUUCAUCAAGAUUGCAAAGUCUCCAAUGUCUCCACCCCUAACUUUCCCUUUUAUCAUAACCUCAUCCGGAAUUUCAUUGCCGAGUGACAAUUGAAAAGAACCAAGUGGAGCUGAGAUCAAUGAGAGUCACCGUCAAGGUUUCUGUUACUCCCUAGGAAGAACGGUACCAACAUAAACAGCGCCUUCUCUUCAAUUAAAAAUCUUGAUGGACAUAAGUUAGAAGCUCAAGUACUCUCAAAACACUUUACUCUUUGUUUUCUCCAAAACAUUUUGAACUGAUAGUUGCAAAUUCAAUAUCAUUGCCUCCAUGAUGUUAAUGACUUAUCUCCCAGCUUCAUUAUCUGAAAUUUACCAAGGAUGCUACGAGAAGUUGAUGUUUUUAGUGUAUUAUAUUCUACUAUUAAGCCUAAGAUAUACUCCGUACUAGGUUUCUCUUUAGCUUUGUUGUUUUUUGGUUGUUUGACUUUAUGACAUUAAUGCAUGACACGGUGAUAUUAUCAGCUAUUUUUGGAAAAUGCACAACGUGAAUGGGACUGCUAAAAAUCUCAGGCUUGUCAUGCAUAUACGAGACUUAUGCUGAAUUGGUGGUUUCCUGUUGUUAAUGGUCGGUUAAUGAGGAAAUAGUUCAUUAAUUUCGAAUUAUGAUUUGGAUUCUCAUUUCAUGUUCAAUUUUAACAUUUGAAAUUACAGUGAAUAUUUUUCCUAUUUCAUGAGAAUCCAUGAUUAUUCUACCAUUUUCUUUUUGAUCAUGUUAUGUUAAGCGGAUAGCUUAGAACUAACCAACCGGACAUGGAAGAUGGAAAAGAUAUCAAAGCUGCGGAUGAUUUGUGUGGAGUGUAACUGUUUGUCUAAUUUCUUAGUGAUAAAAAUGUUUGGAAAGUACGGGUAGGACGUUAUGUUGAUUCAUUAUAAUGCUGGAACAAGGUUGCCACCAAUUUGAUCGUGCUCCAGCCAGCUCCUAAUUGAUACAAUGAUGCCUUAUGACAUUUACCUAUAUCGAUUGAAGUUCUACAGGUUAUGGAAUAUGUUUUGAUUUUUUUUUUUUUUUUUUUAAUGUAUCUGUGAGUGUCUAAGUCCACUUGCACACAACUCGACUAAUCAACGAGACAACUGUCCAACCCUACUACAUUUGGUUGGUUGUAAAAAAAAAUGGUAUCUACCAUAAAUUGAACUAGUUCUCUCCAAGUUUUCUGGUCCUUGCAACUCUUGAUGAUUAUAGCCACAAACAUUUUAAGAUUGAACCUUGCAUGCUUUAACAAAAAUUCUGUUGAUGCAUUGACGAUUGUGGUAGACUAUUAAAACAAAGGAAUUGUGGUAUGUUCUAAAUAUGGAGAAUAAACAUUUCUAUGUACUAACAUAUUUUAUGGUCACGUGAAUGUUUCAUUAUUCCUAACUUUCAAGUACUGCAAGCUGUGGAAGGAAAAAAGAAAGGAGUUAACCUGAAGGGUUUUCUAUCAAGGAAGAUGGCUUGCUUGCUGGAAACCAGAGCAGGUUCUCUAGAACAUUUUUGUGGGCAUUUUUGCAAGUGGAUGGUUGAAAGAAAGCAAUCUCGAUGCUGUCAAAUUAAGGAAGAUUGUGUUCUAUUUGACAUGUGAGCCAUUGACCCCGCCAGCAACUGAGGUAUUUUUUAUGCUUUUAAAAGAAUUGCAAAUUGGUAUUCAAAUUUGGUACUUCUUUUUUUUGUUUUUUCAAUGAAUGUCUGAACAUGUUUAGCUUUUAAGUACAGAAAUGAUCCGAUGCUGUUUGCAAUAAAUUAAUGAGGCAUUUAGUCACUAA